CAGGAGAGAGUUUGAUAAAAUGCUGACUUUGGGAGUCAGUGAUCCAUUAAAGUAAGGUGGUCUCCUGA
RNAcentral lists this transfer RNA (68 nucleotides) under Goniodes dissimilis (brown chicken louse). RNAcentral describes it as "tRNA-Pro". Lineage: Eukaryota; Metazoa; Arthropoda; Insecta; Psocodea; Philopteridae. The record is from RNAcentral.